Non-coding RNA from Nothobranchius furzeri (turquoise killifish), 360 nucleotides. NCBI's taxonomy places the organism in Eukaryota, Metazoa, Chordata, Actinopteri, Cyprinodontiformes, Nothobranchiidae. The record is from RefSeq and is a predicted model, not a curated record.
AAACACACAGGUGCUUUCUUUUCAGGUGACUGAGUGUGUUUCAUUUAUCAUCCAGCUGAUUAAAAAAUGUAAGGAAAGGGAGAGAGAAAAAGAAUAGGAACGAGGGAAUUCAGCAGAUCCCUGGAAAGGUGGAAUAAGAAGAAAGAGCAGAAUAAGAAGAGAGUGGUGACAAAGGUCACGCAAAAGCCAGCUUGAACAGGGAAUCUGCACGAGAUGUUGGAAGAUCAACAUGCAGUGAUGAGUCCUGCUGGGAACCGGAGUGCAUGACGACUUCUUCUUACAUCAAAGCAGCGUUUUUGGUGGAGAUCAGAGGAGCUGCUCCAGCCUCUUCAUGAUGAAUAAACAAGAGUGCUGAUCUGA